Molecule: ribosomal RNA, 903 nt
Filed under: uncultured bacterium
Lineage: Bacteria
Description: partial 16S ribosomal RNA
Rfam family: Bacterial small subunit ribosomal RNA
Source: RNAcentral
GGAAGUUUGAUCCGGGAUCACAACGAACCCUGGACGCGCGUGCCUAAUUCAUGCGAUUCCAACGUGGUGUUCCCUCUCCUGCGUCCCUAGUGGCGCACUGUUGAGUAACGACUGGGAACCUGCCCUGUGGCGCGGAACAUCUUCAGCAAACUGUAGCUAAUACCGAAUGUGUCCUGCUGCUCCUACAUUUCAUCGACUUGGGAUGGGCCCGCCUAAGAGUAAAUUGUUGUCUGGGAAACGGCUCACCUCGGCGUCUAUCCUUCCCUGGUCUGAUACGAUGGCCAGCCUCACUGGGACUGAGACACGGGCCAAACUCCAACUGGAGGCAUCCCCUACGAAUAUCGGAUUAUGGGCGCAAGUCUGAUUCAACCGUGCCGCGUGAGUGAUGAAAGCCUUCGGGUUGGAUAGCUCUUAGCCGACGAAUAUAAUGACUGUACUCGGAGAAUAAGCCCCGGCUAACUUCGUGCCCUCUGCCGCUGUAAUACGAAGGGGGCGAGCGUUACUCGGAAUCACUGGGAGUAAAGCGUGACUAGGCUGUUUUGUAACUUUUACUUGAAAAAAAGAAAAACAACCCCGCACCUGCUUUUGACACUGGUACGCUGGAGUUCUGGAGACGGUAGUGGAAUUCCCCGUGUAGAGGUGAAAUUCUGAGAUAUUGGGAACAACAACAGUGGCAAACGCCCCUUUUCUGGUCUGUAACUGAUGCUGAGGGGCGACAACGUGGGGAGCAAACGGAUUAGAUACCCGGGUAUCCCCCCCGUAAACAAUAAUAGCAAAUGUAAGGGCGUUCCCCCCCUUUAUUGCUCCACCUUACCCAUUAAUCCCCCCCCCGGGGAAAAUGGCCCCUCCGCCUAAACUCCAAAAAAUCCCCGGGGCCCCCACAUCCGGGGAGAAGGGGGUUAU